RNAcentral lists this ribosomal RNA (254 nucleotides) under uncultured bacterium. Its description in RNAcentral is "partial 16S ribosomal RNA". It matches the Rfam family "Bacterial small subunit ribosomal RNA", at positions 524 to 776 of the family's 1533-position model. The record is from RNAcentral.
GACAGAGGUGCCGAGCGUUAGGCGGAAUCACUGGGCUUAAAGCGUGUGUAGGUGGAUGCCUAAGUACCUUGUGAAAUCCCACGGCUUAACCGUGGAACUGCUUGGUAUACUAGGUGUCUUGAGCCAGCUAGGGGCUACCGGAACAAAUGGUGGAGCCGGUGAAAUGCGUAGAUAUCAUUUGGAACGCCAAUGGUGAAAACAGGUAGCUGGGGCUGUGCUGACACUGAGACACGAAAGCCAGGGGAGCGAACGGG